RNAcentral lists this ribosomal RNA (468 nucleotides) under uncultured bacterium. Its description in RNAcentral is "partial 16S ribosomal RNA". It matches the Rfam family "Bacterial small subunit ribosomal RNA", at positions 28 to 507 of the family's 1533-position model. The record is from RNAcentral.
GACGAACGCUGGCGGCGUGCUUAACACAUGCAAGUCGAACGGAAAGGCCCUGCUUUUGUGGGGUGCUCGAGUGGCGAACGGGUGAGUAACACGUGAGUAACCUGCCCUUGACUUUGGGAUAACUUCAGGAAACUGGGGCUAAUACCGGAUAGGAGCUCCUGCUGCAUGGUGGGGGUUGGAAAGUUUCGGCGGUUGGGGAUGGACUCGCGGCUUAUCAGCUUGUUGGUGGGGUAGUGGCUUACCAAGGCUUUGACGGGUAGCCGGCCUGGGAGGGUGACCGGCCACAUUGGUCCUGAGAUACGGCCCAGACUCCUACGGGAGGCAGCAGUGGGGAAUAUUGCACAAUGGGCGGAAGCCUGAUGCAGCAACGCCGCGUGCGGGAUGACGGCCUUCGGGUUGUAAACCGCUUUCGCCUGUGACGAAGCGUGAGUGACGGUAAUGGGUAAAGAAGCACCGGCUAACUACGUG